Molecule: ribosomal RNA, 497 nt
Filed under: uncultured bacterium
Lineage: Bacteria
Description: partial 16S ribosomal RNA
Rfam family: Bacterial small subunit ribosomal RNA
Source: RNAcentral
GAUGAACGCUGGCGGCGUGCCUAAUACAUGCAAGUCGAGCGAACAGACCAGGAGCUUGCUCCUCUGACGUUAGCGGCGGACGUGUGAGUAACACGUGGAUAACCUACCUAUAAGACUGGGAUAACUUCGGGACACCGGAGCUAAUACCGGAUAAUAUAUCGAACCGCAUGGUUCAUUAGUGAAAGACGGCUUUGCCGUCACUUAUAGAUGGAUCCGCGCCGCAUUAGCUAGGUGGUAAGGUAACGGCUUACCAAGGCACCGAUGCGUAGCCGACCCGAGAGGGUGAUCGGCCACACUAGAUCUGAGACACGGUCCAGACUCCUACGGGAGGCAGCAGUAGGGAAUCUUCCGCAAUGGGCGAAAGCUUGACGGAGCGACGCCGCGUGAGUGAUGAAGGUCUUCGGUUCGUAAAGCUCUGUUAUGAGGGAAGAACAAAUGUGUAAGUAACUAUGCACGUCUUGACGGUACCUAAUCAGAAAGCCACGGCUAACUACGUG